Long non-coding RNA from Apis mellifera (honey bee), 1329 nucleotides. RefSeq lists it as uncharacterized. The transcript is spliced from 2 exons. The record is from RefSeq and is a predicted model, not a curated record. Lineage: Eukaryota; Metazoa; Arthropoda; Insecta; Hymenoptera; Apidae.
CAAUAUACGUGAAUUUAAUUAAUUAGCAUGUAAAUGUUAUAACAAGUAUAACGAUAUGCAAAUACUUGUUAUGAUUGUAAUAUAUAUAUAUAUAUGAAAAGUAGUCUCGAUUUCAUGCACGAUUUGAUGCAUAGCAGAAAAAUGAAGGAGAAAACAGAACGCUCGAUUUCGCAGUUCUUAAUGAUAAUGUUUAGCCAGUUUGCACAAUGUAACACAUAUGGUAAAAAAUUUGUGUCAUUUUUUUCAUUUGCGUGUCAAAUUCGUUUUUUCUUUUCUUUUUUUUUUUAAUCCUAUAUUGGCGUUAUAGUAAAUUUCAAUCUACAGUUGAUGUAUGCACAUAAUAAUACAUCAUUCAUUUUAUUUUGACAAUAUGAAAUGACGAUUUAUAUCUGUGACAAUUUUGCAAUAACAAAAAUGAACACUCCAUUAAAAAAACUUUCAUAUAUAUAUAAAAGUAAAUUAUUGCAAAGUUAAUAUCAAUCUAGGCAAUUUUCUUUUUAUCAUAACAGCUUUCAAACAAAUUGGUGAAGAAAUAAAUAGAAAAAAAAGGAGGUCAAAUAUUGGCUAUCUAAAUUAAGAAGAAAAGUGAGAUAUACCUCUUUCUACUCCACUUUGUUCAACCAUUCAUUCCUAUUAGCCUAUUAGCCUGCACUAACAUAAAUGUAUCCAUUGGGCAAACCUGUCAAAUAUUACAAUUGCUCAUAAAAUUACAAAUAAACUUUUCUUCUCGAAACCAACUGAAAUAGAUCACUCUCCAUCAAUUGCUGUGGCAUAAUAUAAUGACAGUUCAGGCAAGGACACUUUAGGCACAAGUGAUCUGCAUCCCCCUUUCAAAGCUUAAAACUGUUUCCAUUUUUACCUAGCCUGUGUAUGAUCUAACCAUGGAAAGAAUCAAACGAUUGCACGACGUGAAGGAAAUAUUUUAUGAUGUACACAGUGUGUCAACAAAAUAAUGAUAAAAUAAGCGAUAAUUUAUUACCAUGGAAAAUGAGGAAAAUUUUUAUCUUAUUUCUUGGAAAGAAGGAUUCUUCAAACUCAAAAAAAAAAAAAAAAACGUGUCCAGCAUUACGAGAAUAAUCACAAAGUGUAUCACGUUUUUGUAACUGGACUUUUGUACUCAUGCAUAAAAUAUAUAUAACUUGAAUUGAACCUCGACAAUUAAGGAGGAAAUGUUUUAAUGAAGUUCACUGAUUAUUAGUGUAAGAAUUUAUUAGACCAUGAGAAAUUUUACAUCAUCUACGUUCGGAGAAAGUGAGUUAAUUAAUUCUACGCUUGAGCGGUUUGAUUGAUUGAAAUAUUUUAAUUUCUUCUGUUAUGUUUCAGAUAUUU